CCUACGGGUGGCAGCAGUGGGGAAUAUUGGGCAAUGGAGGCAACUCUGACCCAGCAACGCCGCGUGAAUGAUGAAGGUCUUCGGAUCGUAAAGUUCUGUGAUGGGGGAUGAACACAAUGACGGUACCCCAAUAGCAAGUCACGGCUAACUACGUGCCAGCAGCCGCGGAAAUACGUAGGAGGCAAGCGUUAUCCGGAAUGACUGGGCGUAAAGGGCGCGUAGGUGGUUUAGUAAGUUGGCGGUGUAAGUCCUGGGCUCAACCUGUGUGCUACUGCGAAAACUAGUAGACUAGAGUGCAGGAGGGGAGAGUGGAAGUCCUAGUGUAGCGGUGGAAUGCGUAGAUAUAAGGAGGAACAUCAGGGGCGAAGGCGACUUACUGGACUGUAACUGACACUGAGGUACGAAAGCGUGGGGAGCAAACAGGAUUAGAUACCCCAGUAGUC
RNAcentral lists this ribosomal RNA (443 nucleotides) under uncultured bacterium. RNAcentral's name for it is "partial 16S ribosomal RNA". It matches the Rfam family "Bacterial small subunit ribosomal RNA", at positions 338 to 795 of the family's 1533-position model. The record is from RNAcentral.